RNAcentral lists this ribosomal RNA (264 nucleotides) under uncultured bacterium. Its description in RNAcentral is "partial 16S ribosomal RNA". It matches the Rfam family "Bacterial small subunit ribosomal RNA", at positions 793 to 1055 of the family's 1533-position model. The record is from RNAcentral.
GUCCACGCCCUAAACGAUGUCAACUGGGUGUUCGGGAAGCGAUUCCUGGGUACCGUAGCUAACGCGUGAAGUUGACCGCCUGGGGAGUACGGCCGCAAGGUUAAAACUCAAAGGAAUUGACGGGGACCCGCACAAGCGGUGGAUGAUGUGGAUUAAUUCGAUGCAACGCGAACAACCUUACCUACCCUUGACAUGUCCGAGAGCCCGCUGAGAGGUGGGUGUGCCCGAAAGGGAAUCGGAACACAGGUGCUGCAUGGCUGUCGU